Molecule: non-coding RNA, 813 nt
Organism: Schizosaccharomyces pombe (fission yeast)
Lineage: Eukaryota; Fungi; Ascomycota; Schizosaccharomycetes; Schizosaccharomycetales; Schizosaccharomycetaceae
Source: the annotation of a GenBank genome assembly
AGCGAACAGCCCAAAUAUUGGGAUCAUUCACUGAAGGAAGUAGAAGACGUUGGGGAACAUUGCUUGUAUCUCCAACAACAGUUUGGCUACGACCAUACUUUUCACGAUACUCCUCAGCAAGGCGUUCAGCAUCAACAGAUUGUAGUUCCUGUCUUUGACGGUCAAGUUCACGAUGGCGACGAUCAUCACCGACGUAAUCCGCUCCAACUUCUUCUUCAAUGAAACCAUCUUCACGACCAAUUUCAUCUUCCUCAUCUUCAAGCUCUUCCUCGUCCUCAUCUACUUCUGCUUCAAUAUCAAGGAAUUGGUUGCGGCGGUCAUGGCGAGCCCUUUUUCUUCUACCGCCACCUGAUUCAUCUUCAUCUUCCUCGUCUUCCUCAUCAUCUUCUUCAUCCUCUUCUUCCUCUUCGUUUGCAUCAGCUUCUUCCUCGUUUUCUUCAACAUUAUCCUCAUCUUCUUUUUUGUCAUUGUUAUUUACAUUAUCGACUUCGUUUUCAUUCCCAUCUUCGCCUUUAUUAAUUGUGGUAUCAUUUGGACUUUCGUUAUGGGAAUCCACGGGAGAACUCUGUUUUUCAUUUGUAGUAAUUUUAGCAGCUUCAGAAUCAUCAUUCAGCAAGUCACUUCCAUUGGGGGAUGCACGGGUAGAAUUGAUUUUAACUGAAGCAGCAUCUUGCUCAGCUGCAUCUACCUCAGUCGAAUUUGCAUCUUUAUCAAUAGAUUUCGGAGAAUUCGUAUCCAUUGUGACUUAAAAAAGAGGAAAUAGUACCUAUUCCCUCAAUGCUUUGUUUUUAGACCUUUAAUCUAAUAUAGGCG